This 305-nucleotide ribosomal RNA is filed under the name uncultured bacterium. Its description in RNAcentral is "bacterial SSU rRNA". It matches the Rfam family "Bacterial small subunit ribosomal RNA", at positions 334 to 637 of the family's 1533-position model. The record is from RNAcentral.
CAUUCCCUACGGACGCAGCAGUGAGGAAUAUUGGUCAAUGGGCGGGAGCCUGAACCAGCCAAGCCGCGUGAGGGAAGAAGGUACAGCGUAUCGUAAACCUCUUUUGUCAGGGAACAAAGGCGGGGACUAGUCCCCGGAUGAGGGUACCUGAAGAAAAAGCAUCGGCUAACUCCGUGCCAGCAGCCGCGGUAAUACGGAGGAUGCGAGCGUUAUCCGGAUUUAUUGGGUUUAAAGGGUGCGCAGGCGGCCUGUUAAGUCAGCGGUAAAAGCCCGGGGCUCAACCCCGGCGAGCCGUUGAAACUGGG